GAUGAAGACGUAGCGAAAUGCGAUAAUUAAUGUGAAUUGCAGAAUUCCGUGAAUCAUCGAGUCUUUGAACGCACAUUGCGCCUCAUGACAUUCCGUGAGGCAUGCCCAUCUCAGCGUUAGAAAAUAUUCUCAAAUUUUAGUUUUGUGCUAAAAUUUGGAUCAUGUCAAAGAAGCUAUUACUAUUAUUGUGAUCGCUCUUUGGAAAUUGAUAGGUCUUUGAGUUGCUACUCAUAGAACGUGAUGAAUCUUUCUUCGUUCUAUUGUAAUUCGCUCUGGUAGUCCUAAAACUUGUAUGCCUGUGGCAUAUCUUGUAAUUUGACCUGAGAUUGGGUAGGGAUACCCGCUGAACUUAAGCAUAUCAAUAAGCGGAGGA
This 373-nucleotide unclassified non-coding RNA is filed under the name soil metagenome. RNAcentral's name for it is "partial contains internal transcribed spacer 2 and large subunit ribosomal RNA". The stretch from base 1 to 119 matches the Rfam family "5.8S ribosomal RNA", at positions 35 to 154 of the family's 154-position model. The record is from RNAcentral.